UACGUAGGGGGCAAGCGUUGUCCGGAAUCAUUGGGCGUAAAGCGCGUGUAGGCGGCCAGGUAAGUCCGUUCUGAAAGCCCGGGGCUCAACCCCGGGAGGCGGAUGGAUACUGCUUGGCUCGAGUCCGGAAGAGGCGAGUGGAAUUCCCGGUGUAGCGGUGAAAUGCGCAGAUAUCGGGAGGAACACCGGUGGCGAAGGCGGUCUGCUGGGCCGUUGCUGACGCUGAGGCGCGACAGCGUGGGGAGCAAACAGG
Molecule: ribosomal RNA, 253 nt
Filed under: uncultured bacterium
Lineage: Bacteria
Description: partial 16S ribosomal RNA
Rfam family: Bacterial small subunit ribosomal RNA
Source: RNAcentral